RNAcentral lists this small RNA (107 nucleotides) under Marmota monax (woodchuck). The record is from RNAcentral. Lineage: Eukaryota; Metazoa; Chordata; Mammalia; Rodentia; Sciuridae.
GCUGGGUGUGGUGGUGCACACCUGUAAUCCCCACAACUCAGGAGGCUGAGGCAGGAGGAUUCCAAGUUCCAAAUCAGCCUCAGCAACUUAGGGAGGCCCUGUCUCAA